Molecule: ribosomal RNA, 306 nt
Filed under: uncultured bacterium
Lineage: Bacteria
Description: bacterial SSU rRNA
Rfam family: Bacterial small subunit ribosomal RNA
Source: RNAcentral
GAUGAACGCUGGCGGCGUGCUUAACACAUGCAAGUCGAGCGAGGGAGCACCUUCGGGUGUGAACUAGCGGCGGACGGGUGAGUAACACGUGGGCAACCUGCCUUACAGAGGGGGAUAGCCUUCCGAAAGGAAGAUUAAUACCGCAUAUUAUGAUUUUCUGCAUGGGAAAGUCAUGAAAGGAGCAAUCCGCUGUAAGAUGGGCCCGCGGCGCAUUAGCUAGUUGGUGAGGUAAGGGCUCACCAAGGCGACGAUGCGUAGCCGACCUGAGAGGGUGAUCGGCCACAUUGGGACUGAGACACGGCCCAG